RNAcentral lists this ribosomal RNA (868 nucleotides) under uncultured archaeon. RNAcentral describes it as "bacterial SSU rRNA". It matches the Rfam family "Archaeal small subunit ribosomal RNA", at positions 1 to 875 of the family's 1478-position model. The record is from RNAcentral.
AUUUUCCGGUUGAUCCUGCCGGACCCGACUGCUAUCAGAGUGGGAUUAAGCCAUGCGAGUUAACGUAGCAAUACGUGGCAUACGGCUCAGUAACACGUAGUCAACAUGCCCAGGGGACGUGGAUAACCUCGGGAAACUGAGGCUAAACCGCGACAGGCCAAGAUUUCUGGAAUGGAUCAUGGCUUAAAUCUAUAUGGCCCCUGGAUUGGACUGCGGCCGAUCAGGCUGUUGGUGAGGUAAUGGCCCACCAAACCUGUAACCGGUACGGGCUCUGAGAGGAGGAGCCCGGAGAUGGGCACUUAGACAAGGGCCCAGGCCCUAUGGGGCGCAGCAGGCGCGAAACCUCUGCAAUAAGCGAAAGCUUGACAGGGUUACUCUGAGUGAUUUCCGCUAAGGAAGUCUUUUGGCACCUCUAAAAAUGGUGCAGAAUAAGGGGUGGGCAAGUCUGGUGUCAGCCGCCGCGGUAAUACCAGCACCCCGAGUGGUCGGGACGAUUAUUGGGCCUAAAGCAUCCGUAGCCGGUCCUGCAAGUCCUCCGUUAAAUCCACCCGCUCAACGGUUGGGCCGCGGGGGAUACUACAGGGCUAGGAGGCGGGAGAGGCAAGCGGUACUCGAUGGGUAGGGGUAAAAUCCACUGAUCCAUUGAAGACCACCAGUGGCGAAGGCGGCUUGCCAGAACGCGCUCGACGGUGAGGGAUGAAAGCUGGGGGAGCAAACCGGAUUAGAUACCCGGGUAGUCCCAGCUGUAAACGAUGCAGACUCGGUGAUGGGCUGGCUUCGUGCCAACCCGGUGUCGCAGGGAAGCCGUUAAGUCUACCGCCUGGGGAGUACGGUCGCAAGACUGAAACUUAAAGGAAUUGGCGGGAAU